UACGAAGGGGGCUAGCGUUGCUCGGAAUCACUGGGCGUAAAGCGCACGUAGGCGGCUUUCUAAGUCAGACGUGAAAUCCCUCAGCUUAACUGGGGAACUGCGUCUGAUACUGGAUGGCUUGGAUUCGGGAGAGGAAUGCGGAAUUCCAGGUGUAGCGGUGAAAUGCGUAGAUAUCUGGAGGAACACCGGUGGCGAAGGCGGCAUUCUGGACCGAUAUUGACGCUGAGGAGCGAAAGCCAGGGGAGCAAACGGG
This 253-nucleotide ribosomal RNA is filed under the name uncultured bacterium. RNAcentral describes it as "partial 16S ribosomal RNA". It matches the Rfam family "Bacterial small subunit ribosomal RNA", at positions 524 to 776 of the family's 1533-position model. The record is from RNAcentral.